RNAcentral lists this ribosomal RNA (349 nucleotides) under uncultured Fusibacter sp. RNAcentral describes it as "bacterial SSU rRNA". It matches the Rfam family "Bacterial small subunit ribosomal RNA", at positions 1032 to 1382 of the family's 1533-position model. Lineage: Bacteria; Bacillati; Bacillota; Clostridia; Eubacteriales; Fusibacteraceae. The record is from RNAcentral.
AGACAGGUGGUGCAUGUUGUCGUCAGCUCGUGUCGUGAGAUGUUGGGUAAGUCCCGCAACGAGCGCAACCUUGUGUUUAGUUGCAAACAGGUCAAGCUGUGCACCCUAGACAGACUGCCGUGGACAACACGGAGGAAGGUGGGGGAUGACGUCAAAUCAUCAUGCCCCUUAUGAUCUGGGCUACGCACGUGCUACAAUGGCCGGUACAACGGGCAGCGAAGGAGCGAUCCGGAGCGAAUCCUAAAAAGCCGGUCCCAGUUCGGAUUGCAGGCUGAAACUCGCCUACAUGAAGUUGGAGUUGCUAGUAAUCGCGAAUCAGAAUGUCGCGGUGAAUGCGUUCCCGGGUCUU